This 1242-nucleotide long non-coding RNA is filed under the name Equus caballus (horse). RNAcentral's name for it is "lncRNA (ENSECAG00000044189.1)". Lineage: Eukaryota; Metazoa; Chordata; Mammalia; Perissodactyla; Equidae. The record is from RNAcentral.
GGAUGAAUGAAGGAGUGACAAAACAAAUGGGCGUAAGCAUCACAAUGACUACUUUUUGGCUGAAGUUGACAAGAAUUUCAGGACCAUCCACAAGAUUUUCUGCCUGUUAGGUCAGAGGGCAAUGGAAAACACUUGGCUUUGCUUGUCUUGUGGAGAAAGGAACAUAAUAAGGAGAAGGAGCACAAUCAGAUACAAAGCAAUCACUGUGUUUGGAUGCACUUCUAACCCACAUGGCUAUGAAGAUGUCAGAGAAUCCAUGAGUGUUUGUUCAGAAACCUGUUCACAUACAAAUCGGGAGAGCAGGAGCUGCUGGCAAGGCACAGUCACUCUGCACAUCUGACUCAGGGCAGGACACAGCUGGGGCUGCUUGGGUCUACACCAGAUGGAGCUUCUAGAAGCACUGUCCUUGGGAGUUCCAGGCAUCAUGAGGACUGAACGGUGAGGUAGUGCUGACCCCCUGACUCCGGCUUCUACACUUGUCAGCCAGAAGCUGGUCCCACUGCUCUCCCAGCAUCCGGGCUGACACUGGGCAGGCACGUGGGGUAAGAAGUGUGGGUGAGUCUGUGCUUCCUUCAAACAUGUGGCUUCAAAGUUCUGAGGAUGUCAUUUGGCAUGGAAGAGAGUCAGGGGCAACUGGAACCGUGGAAUUUCCAAUUAUAAAAGGUCCCAUUCAGAGCUGCAUGCCCUGUUGCACAACAAGGGAACAAGGAGACAUUUGAUGGCACUAAAAUGCCUUGAGCUCAAAACAAAGGGACACAACUUUCUCUGCUUUGUCUUCUGAAUUUUAAGGCCUGUCCUGUGUGACGGUAGGUUAUCAAAACAAGCGACAACUUAUCCCAUUCUGCCUUGGCAGAAGGCUUGCUUCUGAACACAGACCUGGAGGCAAUGCUCUCUGACCUGAGUUUCUCCAGAAGCUCAAGCGUACAUUUAAUCUGGACAGCGAAGGAUCUGAAUUAAAGAUCCAGUCAUCCGACACAGAAAUAUGAACUCUCUGAGACUCAUUUCUCUCCCUCAUUCUGAUAUCCUAUCCAUUACCAAGUCCUUAAGUACUUCUUGCACCACUCCCAUCUCCAUCCCCAUUGCGUUGCCAGUUUACUCCAUGGGUUCUGAAGUCACCUGAGAGGCACAAUCACCAAGACCAUGUCUGGAAAAAUUUCAGAACAGUCCCAAAUCACGAUGUCAUCCUGAACUGAACUUACAUUUAACAAGUUAUUCCAAUUAGCUGGAUGAACAAGAGCAUCU